Molecule: long non-coding RNA, 803 nt
Organism: Arabidopsis lyrata subsp. lyrata
Lineage: Eukaryota; Viridiplantae; Streptophyta; Magnoliopsida; Brassicales; Brassicaceae
Exons: 2
Source: RefSeq, a predicted model, not a curated record
AGUAAUAUACCUCGUUUAGUUGUUGUUGUUUUUUAAAUUUUUCGUUUUUUAUAUUUUGGUAGAUUCGUACCUGCGCGUUAACGGUUGUUAACGAUGGUAACAGAAUCGCUAACUGCAGUUAAAAUUUAAUCCAGAAUGUUUACGUAUAUAUAUAUACAAUCUCUUUACAAACAUAUACGAAUAUAUUGUCUUAUUUAUGAUUUGAUUAUUAAUAUUGUGUGUGUUUUAUUGUAUAUAUGAAAAUGUGUAUGUGAAGUGUUGAAUUCGAUAUUGUUAUGAAUGAGGCCCAUAUAUGAAACCCAACUAUUGACAUAUUAUAUUAUUAUUUCUGGAAUUGGGCUUAGAUAUAGGAAAUUCUUAGCACAACUGUUUAAUAUUUGUCGGUUCAACAACAGGAAAAAAAAAGAUAACGAAAACGAAAAUAUCUUCAAUCUUAUUCUGCAGCGAAAUCAAAAUUUUCCAGAGACCAAUCAAUUGAGAGAUUGCAUCUCCGAUUUCUGUCUUAGCAAGCAAAAUUAAUGGAAUUAAAAUCGAAGAGAUUGUGCAGAUUGAUGUACUGUGCAAGGUCAAACAAAAUUCGGAAAUAAUUCCUCUAUAUAUCGAUGUAGUUAGUUUUCAUUGAUGUGUAUCAGUCCCUUGAUAUUAAGUUUAACAGGUGAUGUAUCUGAAUAUAAGAUAGACGAAUUUUAUGCAUUUAUUUGAAUCUCUGUUGGGAAAGUAUUGUUAGAAAAUUUGGUUUUGUUUGGAUGGUAUUGUAAUAUGAACAGGUAAAUAUAUGCUUUAAAGAUAUGUAUUUGAUUAAA